UUAGUCUGAUAGUAACAAAAC
Caenorhabditis elegans is the source of this 21-nucleotide non-coding RNA. NCBI's taxonomy places the organism in Eukaryota, Metazoa, Nematoda, Chromadorea, Rhabditida, Rhabditidae. The record is from Ensembl.